UUAUAUAUAAAUAUACAAAAUGUAUAAAAUUGGAACGAUACAGAGAACAUUAGCAUGCCCCCUGCGCAAGGAUGACUCGCACAAAUCGAGAAAUGGUCCAAACUCUA
RNAcentral lists this small nuclear RNA (107 nucleotides) under Marchantia polymorpha subsp. ruderalis. The record is from RNAcentral. Lineage: Eukaryota; Viridiplantae; Streptophyta; Marchantiopsida; Marchantiales; Marchantiaceae.